This 383-nucleotide ribosomal RNA is filed under the name uncultured eukaryote. Its description in RNAcentral is "partial 18S ribosomal RNA". It matches the Rfam family "Eukaryotic small subunit ribosomal RNA", at positions 592 to 976 of the family's 1831-position model. The record is from RNAcentral.
CAAUAGCGUAUAUUAAAGUUGUUGCAGUUAAAAAGCUCGUAGUUGGAUUUCUGGUGGGAGCGAUCGGUCUGGCGCUUAGCGCGAGUACUUGCAUCGUCUCCGGCCAUCCUUGGGGAGAGUCUGUCUGGCAUUAAGUUGUCGGGCAGAGGAUCCUCAUCGUUUACUGUGAGAAAAUUAGAGUGUUCAAAGCAGGCUUAUGCCGUUGAAUAUAUUAGCAUGGAAUAAUAAGAUAGGACUUUGGUACUAUUUUGUUGGUUUGCGCACCAAAGUAAUGAUUAAUAGGGACAGUUGGGGGUAUUCGUAUUCCGUUGUCAGAGGUGAAAUUCUUGGAUUUACGGAAGACGAACUACUGCGAAAGCAUUUACCAAGGAUGUUUUCAUUAA